This 253-nucleotide ribosomal RNA is filed under the name uncultured bacterium. RNAcentral's name for it is "partial 16S ribosomal RNA". It matches the Rfam family "Bacterial small subunit ribosomal RNA", at positions 524 to 776 of the family's 1533-position model. The record is from RNAcentral.
UACGAAGGGGGCGAGCGUUGUUCGGAUUUACUGGGCGUAAGGGGCGCGCAGGCGGCCACUCAAGUCAGGCGUGAAAGCCCCGGGCUUAACCUGGGAACUGCGUCUGGGACUGAGAGGCUAGAGAUCGGGAGAGGAGAGUGGAAUUCCCAGUGUAGAGGUGAAAUUCGUAGAUAUUGGGAAGAACACCAGUGGCGAAGGCGGCUCUCUGGACCGAUACUGACGCUGAGGCGCGAAAGCGUGGGGAGCAAACAGG